Molecule: small RNA, 127 nt
Filed under: Serratia rubidaea
Lineage: Bacteria; Pseudomonadati; Pseudomonadota; Gammaproteobacteria; Enterobacterales; Yersiniaceae
Description: RtT sRNA
Rfam family: RtT RNA
About the family: This family represents a bacterial cis-regulatory element known as RtT RNA. The exact function of RtT is unknown although it is thought that it may be involved in changing the cellular response in relation to amino acid starvation.
Source: RNAcentral
AAUUCUCCGCACCGGGGAAGGAUGAGAAGCUUCGACAAGGUUCGAGUUGAGCGUAGCGAAACAACGCGCUUCAGCGCGGCCCGAAGGGUGAGGAGCGCAGCGACGAAUAAUCCUUCCCCCACCACCA